This 212-nucleotide long non-coding RNA is filed under the name Capsicum annuum. RNAcentral describes it as "long non-coding RNA (CANN_LNC021856)". Lineage: Eukaryota; Viridiplantae; Streptophyta; Magnoliopsida; Solanales; Solanaceae. The record is from RNAcentral.
CUCGUAACUCGUGAACUUUUUGCUCAAAUAAUAGAUUGCUUGUUCCUUUUUGCCUGUGAUAUCAUGCUGUCCUAAAACACAACCAAAAGAAUUGUCCAUCACUGAUAGAUAUAGAAAUAAAGGCCUACCCGGUUCCGGUGGGACCAUCACAGGAGGAUUUGCCAAAUAUUCUUUAAUCUUAUCAAAUGAUUCUUGACAUUCGUCUGUCCAUU